This 428-nucleotide ribosomal RNA is filed under the name uncultured bacterium. RNAcentral describes it as "bacterial SSU rRNA". It matches the Rfam family "Bacterial small subunit ribosomal RNA", at positions 355 to 775 of the family's 1533-position model. The record is from RNAcentral.
UGGGGAAUUUUGGACAAUGGGCGCAAGCCUGAUCCAGCCAUGCCGCGUGAGUGAAGAAGGCCUUCGGGUUGUAAAGCUCUUUCGGACAGAAAGAAAUCGGUUGGGCUAAUACCCCAACUGGAUGACGGUACUGUAAGAAGAAGCACCGGCUAACUACGUGCCAGCAGCCGCGGUAAUACGUAGGGUGCGAGCGUUAAUCGGAAUUACUGGGCGUAAAGCGUGCGCAGGCGGUUACAUAAGACAGAUGUGAAAUCCCCGGGCUCAACCUGGGAACUGCGUUUGUGACUGUGUGACUAGAGUACGGCAGAGGGGGGUGGAAUUCCUGGUGUAGCAGUGAAAUGCGUAGAUAUCAGGAGGAACAUCGAUGGCGAAGGCAGCCCCCUGGGCCUGUACUGACGCUCAUGCACGAAAGCGUGGGGAGCAAACAG